Molecule: ribosomal RNA, 421 nt
Filed under: Micrococcus sp. oral taxon F54
Lineage: Bacteria; Bacillati; Actinomycetota; Actinomycetes; Micrococcales; Micrococcaceae
Description: bacterial SSU rRNA
Rfam family: Bacterial small subunit ribosomal RNA
Source: RNAcentral
GAUGAACGCUGGCGGCGUGCUUAACACAUGCAAGUCGAACGAUGAAGCCCAGCUUGCUGGGUGGAUUAGUGGCGAACGGGUGAGUAACACGUGAGUAACCUGCCCUUGACUCUGGGAUAAGCCCGGGAAACUGGGUCUAAUACCGGAUAGGAGCGCCUGUCGCAUGACGGGUGCUGGAAAGAUUUUUCGGUCAUGGAUGGACUCGCGGCCUAUCAGCUUGUUGGUGAGGUAAUGGCUCACCAAGGCGACGACGGGUAGCCGGCCUGAGAGGGUGACCGGCCACACUGGGACUGAGACACGGCCCAGACUCCUACGGGAGGCAGCAGUGGGGAAUAUUGCACAAUGGGCGGAAGCCUGAUGCAGCGACGCCGCGUGAGGGAUGACGGCCCUUUCGGGUUGUAAACCUCUUCAAGCAAGGGAA